AGGACGAACGCUGGCGGCGUGCCUAACACAUGCAAGUCGAACGGGACCGGGGGCAACUCUGGUUCAGUGGCGGACGGGUGCGUAACACGUGAGGAACAUGACUUUCGGCGGGGGAUAGCCGGCCCAACGGCCGGGUAAUACCGCGUACGACCUCUCGGGGACAUCCCCGGUUGGUGAAAGCAGCAAUGCACCGAAAGAGUGCCUCGCGGCCUAUCAGCUAGUUGGUGAGGUAACGGCUCACCAAGGCGACGACGGGUAGCUGGUCUGAGAGGAUGGCCAGCCACAUUGGGACUGAGACACGGCCCAGACUCCUACGGGAGGCAGCAGUGGGGAAUAUUGCGCAAUGGGCGAAAGCCUGACGCAGCGACGCCGCGUGUGGGAUGACGGCCUUCGGGUUGUAAACCACUGUCGGGAGGGACGAAUGCGCCGCAAGGCGAGUGACGGUACCUCCGAAAGGAGCACCGGCUAACUCCGUGCCAGCAGCCGC
RNAcentral lists this ribosomal RNA (487 nucleotides) under uncultured bacterium. Its description in RNAcentral is "SSU rRNA". It matches the Rfam family "Bacterial small subunit ribosomal RNA", at positions 26 to 518 of the family's 1533-position model. The record is from RNAcentral.